This 445-nucleotide ribosomal RNA is filed under the name uncultured bacterium. Its description in RNAcentral is "partial 16S ribosomal RNA". It matches the Rfam family "Bacterial small subunit ribosomal RNA", at positions 354 to 796 of the family's 1533-position model. The record is from RNAcentral.
GUGAGGAAUAUUGGUCAAUGGGCGAGAGCCUGAACCAGCCAAGUCGCGUGAAGGAAGAAGGAUCUAUGGUUCGUAAACUUCUUUUGCAGGGGAAUAAAGUGCAGGACGUGUCCUGUUUUGUAUGUACCCUGAGAAUAAGGAUCGGCUAACUCCGUGCCAGCAGCCGCGGUAAUACGGAGGAUCCGAGCGUUAUCCGGAUUUAUUGGGUUUAAAGGGUGCGUAGGUGGUUUGAUAAGUCAGCGGUGAAAGUUUGCAGCUUAACUGUAAAAAUGCCGUUGAAACUGUCGGACUUGAGUGUAAAUGAGGUAGGCGGAAUGCGUGGUGUAGCGGUGAAAUGCAUAGAUAUCACGCAGAACUCCGAUUGCGAAGGCAGCUUACUAAACUACAACUGACACUGAAGCACGAAAGCGUGGGGAUCAAACAGGAUUAGAAACCCUGGUAGUCC